This is a long non-coding RNA of Cotesia glomerata, 100 nucleotides long. RefSeq lists it as uncharacterized. Lineage: Eukaryota; Metazoa; Arthropoda; Insecta; Hymenoptera; Braconidae. The transcript has 3 exons. The record is from RefSeq and is a predicted model, not a curated record.
AAUCGCAAAUAAAAAAUUUUUCAUACACGGAAAAAAAAAUAUUGUUAAAAUGACUAUCCAACGUAUUCUCAAAUGACGUUUCUUUAAAAUAACGAUCCGG